RNAcentral lists this ribosomal RNA (656 nucleotides) under Clostridioides difficile. Its description in RNAcentral is "bacterial LSU rRNA". It matches the Rfam family "Bacterial large subunit ribosomal RNA", at positions 1 to 660 of the family's 2925-position model. Lineage: Bacteria; Bacillati; Bacillota; Clostridia; Peptostreptococcales; Peptostreptococcaceae. The record is from RNAcentral.
UGGUCAAGUUAUUAAGGGUGCAGGGCGGAUGCCUUGGCACUAGGAGCCGAUGAAGGACGUGAUAAGCUGCGAUAAGCUUCGGGGAGUUGCACGUAAACUUUGAUCCGAAGAUUUCCGAAUGAGGAAACUCACUUAGAGUAAUGUCUAAGUAUCAUUAAGUGAAUACAUAGCUUAAUGAGGGGAACUCAGGGAACUGAAACAUCUAAGUACCUGAAGGAAGAGAAAGAAAUUCGAUUCCGUAAGUAGCGGCGAGCGAACGCGGAUUAGCCCAAACCAAUAAAGUUUUCUUUAUUGGGGUUGCGGACAUAUCAUAACGAAGAGGUAUCGUAAUUGAAGAGGUUUGGAAAGACCCACCACAGAAGGUAAUAGUCCUGUAUGUUAAACGAGAAGACUUUAGAUAUGAUCCAGAGUACCACGGGACACGUGAAACCCUGUGGGAAGCAGGAGGGACCACCCUCCAAGGCUAAAUACUACCUAGUGACCGAUAGCGUAUAGUACCGUGAGGGAAAGGUGAAAAGAACCCCGGGAGGGGAGUGAAAGAGAACCUGAAACCCUGCACUUACAAGCUGUGGAAGCACAUUUCUUGUGUGACCGCGUACUUUUUGUAGAACGGGCCAACGAGUUACGUUAAGUAGCAAGGUUAAGCACUUAAGGUG